This 465-nucleotide ribosomal RNA is filed under the name Vreelandella stevensii. Its description in RNAcentral is "partial 16S ribosomal RNA". It matches the Rfam family "Bacterial small subunit ribosomal RNA", at positions 338 to 795 of the family's 1533-position model. Lineage: Bacteria; Pseudomonadati; Pseudomonadota; Gammaproteobacteria; Oceanospirillales; Halomonadaceae. The record is from RNAcentral.
CCUACGGGGGGCAGCAGUGGGGAAUAUUGGACAAUGGGGGCAACCCUGAUCCAGCCAUGCCGCGUGUGUGAAGAAGGCCCUCGGGUUGUAAAGCACUUUCAGUGAGGAAGAACGCCUGGUGGUUAAUACCCAUCAGGAAAGACAUCACUCACAGAAGAAGCACCGGCUAACUCCGUGCCAGCAGCCGCGGUAAUACGGAGGGUGCGAGCGUUAAUCGGAAUUACUGGGCGUAAAGCGCGCGUAGGUGGCUUGAUAAGCCGGUUGUGAAAGCCCCGGGCUCAACCUGGGAACGGCAUCCGGAACUGUCCAGCUAGAGUGCAGGAGAGGAAGGUAAAAUUCCCGGUGUAGCGGUGAAAUGCGUAGAGAUCGGGAGGAAUACCAGUGGCGAAGGCGGCCUUUUGGACUGACACUGACACUGAGGUGCGAAAGCGUGGGUAGCAAACAGGAUUAGAUACCCUUGUAGUC